Long non-coding RNA from Ciona intestinalis (vase tunicate), 327 nucleotides. RefSeq lists it as uncharacterized. The record is from RefSeq and is a predicted model, not a curated record. NCBI's taxonomy places the organism in Eukaryota, Metazoa, Chordata, Ascidiacea, Phlebobranchia, Cionidae.
UUAGACUUCACAAGUUAAUCAACUUACAACAAGAUGGAUCGAAGACUUCUCACCAUUCUACUCAUCGGACUCGUCUGCCUCGUCAAGCAAGGAGAGAGUGGCAAGACGCCUUCACUCAACUGGUGGAAAUACAACCAACAGAAAAACCAAGCAAUGCAAAAGGCAGCGGAAGAUUAUUACUACGACCAAUACUACUUGGAGAAAAUGAUGAACGACAUGCCAGUCGACGACCAUCCACGUCAGCACUCUCGCUAUUAAAGUAGAUGAGAUAUUGUUUGUUGCCAUUAUAGUUAAGUAAUGCAACUAAAUAAAAUCAUAUUCUGAAUA